RNAcentral lists this small nuclear RNA (162 nucleotides) under Meriones unguiculatus (Mongolian gerbil). RNAcentral describes it as "U1 spliceosomal RNA (ENSMUGG00000006395.1)". It matches the Rfam family "U1 spliceosomal RNA". Rfam says of the family: U1 is a small nuclear RNA (snRNA) component of the spliceosome (involved in pre-mRNA splicing). Its 5' end forms complementary base pairs with the 5' splice junction, thus defining the 5' donor site of an intron. There are significant differences in sequence and secondary structure between metazoan and yeast U1 snRNAs, the latter being much longer (568 nucleotides as compared to 164 nucleotides in human). Lineage: Eukaryota; Metazoa; Chordata; Mammalia; Rodentia; Muridae. The record is from RNAcentral.
CUAUUUGCCCAGCAUGGGAGAUAACAUGGUCACAAAGCUGUUUGUCUCAGGACUCUGCUUAUCCAUUUCACUUAGUAUGUAGUGAUCCUUGCAAUUUUCUCAAAUGUAGGAUACUCAGCUCCACAGUUUGUUGUAGUUGGGACUACAUUCUCAUUCUCCCUU